RNAcentral lists this long non-coding RNA (1698 nucleotides) under Bemisia tabaci. Its description in RNAcentral is "lncRNA ENSSSA2NGG008887". Lineage: Eukaryota; Metazoa; Arthropoda; Insecta; Hemiptera; Aleyrodidae. The record is from RNAcentral.
GUAACGUAUGGUGAACGUAGGGUAAAAUUAGGAGACUUAGUAAACGCAGACAUAUUAUGGACGAACCUCUCAUAUCAUGGCCCUCAAAAGAAGGCGCGGUGUAUAUUAUGAUACUAUCAGGGCCAGAUGCAAGUUACUUGGAUAGUAAGAAGAAUUCCUACGAACACUGGAUAAUUGGUAAUAUUCCCGGCACGGAUUUAGAGAAUGGAGGUAAACUUUCCGAAUAUGUUGGGCUAACGAAAGCCGCUUACUGUCAAGGCACUACUCACCGGCUGGUUUUCUACGUGUUUGAACAGCCUAGAGGAAAGAAAAUGAAGUUUGAAGGAGCUCUGAUUAAAAAGAAAGACAUAGGCAGAAUUAGAGGAAUGCUUUCCAUGGAGGACUUCGUGUUGCGUUACGACCUAGGAGAUCCAUAUACGCAGUACAUUUCUUCGAAGUAUUCUUCAACAAGACAAAGCUGUGAUCAUAUUUACGAAGACUUCUGUUUUUAUUACAGUGACAUUCAUGCACUAAUGUGUGCCCAAAGUCCGUCACGAAUCUUGUUUUGUUGUUAUUGUUUUCCUCUCCCACCCUUUUGAAGAGGACUGCGAUUAAAUCCUGCUUUCAUUUUCGGUUACGUGACCUGAUUGGAUCGAACUUGACAUACUUAACAUCUACAGAGUUAAGGGGCAGAUACACCUGAGAGCUAGACGCGCGUCUUGAGAGGCGAGUAGGCCUUCGGCCGUGUUCGGCAAUCUUCGUAGCCAAUCAGGUCGCAACUCGCCACUCGUAACUCGCUCAAAGUAGGAUCGGAUCCUACUUUUCGGGACAAGACGCGCGUGUAGCUCGCAGGUGUAUCUGGACCUUCAGACUUCGACAAGUGACAUUGAUAUAUUCAAAACUGAUCGACACAAAAUUGAUCCAACAAAAAUCAAUUCAUUGAAGGGUCUUCAAACGUUAUCUUCCCCACACUCAUUGUGUUUAGCAAUAAAUUAAUUUAGUAAUUGAUCUAUUGACAUCGAUGUUUUUCACCUUAAUCUAAGAUCAAUAACCCCUAUAUCCCCAAAAAAUCAGUUCUCCGUUAUUGCGGAUGAUGAGCAAAAUUUAGCUCCUCCGAAGAAUAACGCAAAAUAAUAAUGAUAAAAAAUAUACUUGAAUAAAUAUUUUACACCACUUAUAAAGGCGUUAUUUUAGAUCUAUUAUCUCAAAAAUUAUGUGCUAAAUUGGAACUUACCCGGGAUAGUACCUAUGAACUUGUGUGGCAUUUUUCCAAACGCCAGUCAAUAACGUAAAUCACAAUUGAGUUCGAGUCAACGACAGGGCUAAAUUGGCAUCGAUGUACAGGAUGCUUUGUGCACUCACGAUACUGGAUCUCGUUCUGGUUCGUGUAAAAUCUAGCGAGGUUGCAAAAGACGUGGUUCUAGCGCUCAGAAAUAUCACAAUGUCGGUGAAGAAUAGGUUCUCAGAGAAAAUCAACUUAAGACUUUGACCAGUCCCAUGUUCAACCUCCUUUUUCACGCAUUCAAAUAUCAAUUUUCGGCGUAAUUUUGGCAUGAAAAUGUUCAUCUAAACGUGUAAAGUGAGACUUAAAAAUGAAACGACUUACUUAAUUGCCUAUUUUUCUCUCACAUACUGGGCUCUUUCUUGGCCGGGCCCGGGCACAGUGAAGUCUUCCAAAACACUGAAAAAUAUACACCGCACAAACAAUAAACUAGAGCU